This 253-nucleotide ribosomal RNA is filed under the name uncultured bacterium. RNAcentral's name for it is "partial 16S ribosomal RNA". It matches the Rfam family "Bacterial small subunit ribosomal RNA", at positions 524 to 776 of the family's 1533-position model. The record is from RNAcentral.
UACGUAGGGUGCAAGCGUUGUCCGGAAUUAUUGGGCGUAAAGAGCUCGUAGGCGGUCUGUCGCGUCGGCUGUGAAAACUCGGGGCUCAACUCCGAGCUUGCAGUCGAUACGGGCAGGCUAGAGUUCGGCAGGGGAGACUGGAAUUCCUGGUGUAGCGGUGAAAUGCGCAGAUAUCAGGAGGAACACCGAUGGCGAAGGCAGAUCUCUGGGCCGUAACUGACGCUGAGGAGCGAAAGCGUGGGGAGCAAACAGG